Molecule: ribosomal RNA, 292 nt
Filed under: uncultured bacterium
Lineage: Bacteria
Description: partial 16S ribosomal RNA
Rfam family: Bacterial small subunit ribosomal RNA
Source: RNAcentral
GUGUCAGCAGCCGCGGUAAUACAGAGGUCCCAAGCGUUGUUCGGAUUCACUGGGCGUAAAGGGUGCGUAGGCGGUCGGGUAAGUCUGAUGUGAAAUCUCUGGGCCUAACCCAGAAACUGCAUCGGAUACUAUUCGGCUAGAGGAUUGGAGGGGAGACUGGAAUUCUCGGUGUAGCAGUGAAAUGCGUAGAUAUCGAGAGGAACACCAGUGGCGAAGGCGAGUCUCUGGACAAUUCCUGACGCUGAGGCACGAAAGCCAGGGGAGCAAACGGGAUUAGAAACCCUUGUAGUCC